GCGUUGGUGUCCUCGUGGGCCAAUAAGGAGACCACACCUCGGCCCUGUGCAGAUGGCUCAGCCACAGCUGGGAUAGGUUUUGAAGGCGGCGCUGAGGACAGGUGAAUGUCAACAGUGGGGAGAGUGCCUCGAGGGGGCUCGAGGGACACAGGAAGUCCGUGAUGCGUCUCAGACCUCCCAAAGGAACUGCGGACAGUGGAGGAAAAAAAUCCCACGAUGGCAUACACAUCCUGUGCUUCUGCAUACCUGAAAUGCUUACCUGAC
RNAcentral lists this long non-coding RNA (264 nucleotides) under Dasypus novemcinctus (nine-banded armadillo). RNAcentral describes it as "lncRNA (ENSDNOG00000052694.1)". Lineage: Eukaryota; Metazoa; Chordata; Mammalia; Cingulata; Dasypodidae. The record is from RNAcentral.